GCCCGGGUGGUGGAAUUGGUAGACACGCAGGACUUAAAAUCCUGUGGCCACUGCGGCCGUGCGGGUUCAAGUCCCGCCCCGGGUA
Molecule: transfer RNA, 85 nt
Filed under: Flavobacteriales bacterium
Lineage: Bacteria; Pseudomonadati; Bacteroidota; Flavobacteriia; Flavobacteriales
Description: tRNA-Leu
Rfam family: tRNA
About the family: Transfer RNA (tRNA) molecules are approximately 80 nucleotides in length. Their secondary structure includes four short double-helical elements and three loops (D, anti-codon, and T loops). Further hydrogen bonds mediate the characteristic L-shaped molecular structure. tRNAs have two regions of fundamental functional importance: the anti-codon, which is responsible for specific mRNA codon recognition, and the 3' end, to which the tRNAs corresponding amino acid is attached (by aminoacyl-tRNA synthetases). tRNAs cope with the degeneracy of the genetic code in two manners: having more than one tRNA (with a specific anti-codon) for a particular amino acid; and 'wobble' base-pairing, i.e. permitting non-standard base-pairing at the 3rd anti-codon position.
Source: RNAcentral